This 293-nucleotide long non-coding RNA is filed under the name Brassica napus (rape). RNAcentral's name for it is "long non-coding RNA (BNAP_LNC023735)". The record is from RNAcentral. Lineage: Eukaryota; Viridiplantae; Streptophyta; Magnoliopsida; Brassicales; Brassicaceae.
UGACGGUGGAGGUGGCUGAUGGCGAGACCAAGAAGGUGUACGAGGCCAAGGUUUUGGAGAAGGCCUGGGAGAAUCUCAAGAAGCUGGAGGACUUCACCCACCUUCGCGAUGUUUAGUUUCAUACCUGAUAAGCACAUCGCAUUCUACGUGAUAAGAGUCCCUGUUUAGUGUUUAACCAAUGGGUAACUCUCUCGUUAAAUAAGUGAAUGUGAAAUUCUACUCCUUGUGUUUGAUUUGAUGGGUCUGUGUAAUGGAACUGGUGUUGUGUUUAUCUAUUAUUGCAAGUUGCAAAC